Molecule: non-coding RNA, 113 nt
Organism: Acanthosepion pharaonis
Lineage: Eukaryota; Metazoa; Mollusca; Cephalopoda; Sepiida; Sepiidae
Source: the annotation of a GenBank genome assembly
UUACGGCCAUAUCACGUUGAAACAGCAGUUCUCGUGCGAUCACCGAAGUCAAGCAAUGUCGAGUUUGCUCAAUAUUAAAUGGGUGACGGUUUGAGAAUAUCAGGUGCUGUAAG